AGCCACCCUCGCCCCCGCCAAAACAAACAGACAAAAAACUGUCAUUCUCAUAUGACCACGGACUCUGCGCCCCGGCCGCAGGCGGAGGACAGGGAGGAGCGCACACGAGAAAGCUCCCACGCGCCCGCGCCUCGCCUCCGACGGGAAGGCGCCUCUUCCGACCGUCCUGGAUGCAAAUUAAAUACUUCCCUCCGCAGAAGACUUAUCUCGGGGUAGGGCCGCAGCCGGAUUUCCAAAUCGCGGGUUUGAUUUUCGCUGCGUCCUCUCCGCGACGCGCGCAGGGAGCGCGCCCGGCCACCUGCAGCCUCUGGCUGCGGCCAUCUUUCCGCCUGGGGCCACCUGGCCUGCGCCCUUUGUGCCCGGCCCGCUCCGUGACUGUUCUUCUUGCCGCUACUUACAGAACUCAGCCGCCUUAGCGUCUUAGAGAAGAGGACGGCAUGCAUGCGGACCCCGUCCACCACACCUGGAGAGCAGGGAGCCCUUAGUCCCUGGACACUUACCAGGGCCGCCACCCCUGGUCCACGCACGUGAUGACAUCUCACCAGGGGCAGCACACCGCCCGAGUCCGCGACACUGAUAACACCUCCUGCGGGCAGGAGGGCGCCACAGCCACCCCUGGUCCCCUAGAUUGUGUGAGGCUAGCAUUUCUGCCCGCCUCUUGGCGUGGACAGCACGCUGGACCGAGAUGGAACCACAGCUUUCUCUUCCCAAUCCCUGGCCUCACCGUUUUGUUUCAUACCUCACCGUUUGUUUCAAACCUCGUGGUGUUGAAAUGAUUAAAUGAGAUUAAGGGGUGUGUGGUAGUGUUGGGCAAACCACAAGAAAACGGUCUGGGUGGGGUCUGGCCCUAAAAUCUUCCUCCCCCACCUCCCAGGCUUCCUUGCCUUGCUGCUUCCUCUCAGCCUUUAAACAGGUUGGCCUCUCCAAGUCCUAAAAACAAAAUUAUCAAGCCAACCUCCUCCUGAAGUGCUCCCUCCAACUAGCUUCCAAGUGUUUCAUGCGGACCUCAAACAAUGGUCUUCCCUGGCUGCCUCUGCUUCCUCAUUUCUCAACACUUGGCAUUCUGGCUUCUCCUCCCCAACUCUAACCCUUCACCUUGCUCAGGCAAGAGCAACUCAUGACUUUCAUUUUGCCAAACCUUGCAGGCAUUCCUCAGGCCUUAUCUCUCUGGUUCUUUCUGCUACAUUUGACACCUUGGGAUGACUCUCACCUUCUGGAAUCUCUCUACUACCUUGGUUUCAGAAGAGUGAACCCUCUGGAUUAUCACAUGAAGCUACUUCCUGUGAGCAGCCCAGGGAUGGCCAGUCACUUGUGACCUACUUUCAGAGCUGGCAGUUCUGACUUCUAGAACAAACUCGGAACAAGCCCAUCUACAGCUGGUUGACUGAGUUUCCUUUGGGCUCCUGGCACCAGAAAGAAUUGCUCACUGGAAGGAUCAUAGGUGGCACUCAUGUCUCACUGCCCCACUCAGGUAUGUAGAUUUUCAUUGCCCUAUAAACCACAGUCAACAUCUCAAGAUCUCCAGAAGGAUGUUUAUGAUCUUCUAUUUGCUAAAGACAGUUGCUUCCUUACGGUAAUUGCUUUAAAAGGUGGGGCACCGUGGCUCACAUGGGACCUCGUCUCUAAAAAAUAAAAAAAUUAGCCAUGUGUGGUGGCGUGCAUCUGUAGUCCCAUCCCAGCUACUCAGGCUGAGGCAGAAGGAUCGCUUGAGCCCAGGAGAUCAAGGCUACAGUGAGCUGUGAUGAUGUCACUGCAUUCCAGCCCGGGCGACAGAGCAAGACCCUGUCUCUAAAACAACAAAACAAAACAGAACCAUUAGCUCUUCUUUUUUGUUUUGUUUUGUUUUGUUUUGUUUUCCUCAGAGCAGAGAUGCCUCACUGUGAUAGGUAAAUUAAGGUGAUACUGAUUGCCAGCUCCAGUGUGGAAGUCCCGAGGUGAAGGAAUUUCUUUCAUAAACAUUUCAAAAGUGAGUCGAUCCAGAAUACACCUCCACCAUGAGAUUACCUGUAAUCUAAUUCAACCUAGAAGAUGGAGUCCAAACAGCUUGAGGUUCUGCAGAUUUCACAACAGCAGCCACAAAAUGAAAGUGAAGAAGGCUUUGGCCAGGCACGGUGGCUCACGCCUGUAAUCCCAGCACUUUGGGAGGCCGAGGCGGGUGGAUCAUCUGAAGUCGGGAGUGUGAGACUAGCCUGAUGCACGUGGAGAAACCCCAUCUCUACUAAAAAUACAAAAGUAGCCAGGUGUGGUGGCGCAUUCCUGUAAUCCCAGCUACUCAGGAGGCUGAACCAGGAGAAUCGCUUGAACCCAGGAGGCAGAGGUUGCAGUGAGCUGAGAUCGCGCCAUUGCAUUCCAGCCUGGGCAACA
This 2364-nucleotide long non-coding RNA is filed under the name Homo sapiens (human). RNAcentral describes it as "PREDICTED lncRNA (TCONS_00189915)". The record is from RNAcentral. Lineage: Eukaryota; Metazoa; Chordata; Mammalia; Primates; Hominidae.